UAUAUAUUGGUGUAAAGGGCACGAAAAAUUUUGAUUUUUUAGGAAAUAGUGUAAAUCUGUUAUGUAUAA
Molecule: transfer RNA, 69 nt
Filed under: Potamon fluviatile
Lineage: Eukaryota; Metazoa; Arthropoda; Malacostraca; Decapoda; Potamidae
Description: tRNA-Gln
Source: RNAcentral